This is a small nuclear RNA of Loxodonta africana (African savanna elephant), 113 nucleotides long. Lineage: Eukaryota; Metazoa; Chordata; Mammalia; Proboscidea; Elephantidae. The record is from Ensembl.
CACCACUGGGUUUGGUUUUUUGGUUUUAUACUGAAACUGGAACCAUGCAGAGAUGAUUAGCGCAGCCCCUGUGCAAGGAUGACAUGCGAAUUCAUAAAGGUUCCAAUAAACCA